RNAcentral lists this unclassified non-coding RNA (270 nucleotides) under Hevea brasiliensis (rubber tree). The record is from RNAcentral. Lineage: Eukaryota; Viridiplantae; Streptophyta; Magnoliopsida; Malpighiales; Euphorbiaceae.
GGUUCAUCAAAAUUUAUGGAAAAGAAAUUACGAUUCACUGGGAUUUUAAGUGAUAAGACAGAAGAAAAACCUGGUUUCUCCAAGACAUUGAAACUUCUUUUGCUCUUGCUAUAUCGAUUGGANNNNNNNNNNNNUCUGAUUCAUUCGUAUGGAUGGUGCUUUAUUAUGCUGCAGAUUUCUUUAACUGGAACAGGGUAAAGCUACGAUACUGUGAUGGGGCAUCUUUUAGUGGGGACAGUAAGAAUGAGGCUGCUCAGCUUUAUUUUCGAG